UUUGAACCCUAUAAAAGGUAACGCCUGCCCAGUGACUUUAUGUUUAACGGCCGCGGUACUCUGACCGUGCAAAGGUAGCGUAAUCACUUGUCUUUUAAAUAAGGACUAGUAUGAAUGGCAUCACGAGGACUUAGCUGUCUCCCUCACCCAAUCAGUGAAACUGAUCUCCCUGUGAAAAAGCAGGGAUAAACACAUAAGACGAGAAGACCCUAUGGAGCUUUAAACCAAAAACUACCUGUUUUAUCUACUAUACUAAAAAUAUUACCAAAAUAACUGAUCUAGUUUAAGUUUUCAGUUGGGGUGACUGUGGAGAAAAAUAAAUCCUCCACGCAGAUUUAAGCCUUGAGCAACCGCUCUACGCAUUAGCAAGCCUAACUGCAUUUGAUCCAAUAUUUUUGAUCAACGGACCAAGUUACCCUAGGGAUAACAGCGCAAUCCAUUUCAAGAGUCCAUAUCGACAAAUGGGUUUACGACCUCGAUGUUGGAUUAGGACACCCAAGUGGUGCAGCCGCUACUUAAGGUUCGUUUGUUC
This 532-nucleotide ribosomal RNA is filed under the name Scutiger sikimmensis (Sikkim lazy toad). RNAcentral describes it as "partial 16S ribosomal RNA". It matches the Rfam family "Bacterial large subunit ribosomal RNA", at positions 1835 to 2582 of the family's 2925-position model. Lineage: Eukaryota; Metazoa; Chordata; Amphibia; Anura; Megophryidae. The record is from RNAcentral.